Molecule: long non-coding RNA, 662 nt
Organism: Dama dama (fallow deer)
Lineage: Eukaryota; Metazoa; Chordata; Mammalia; Artiodactyla; Cervidae
Exons: 3
Source: RefSeq, a predicted model, not a curated record
CAAGCCCGAGCUUCCACAAGUUCUUCAACAAUUGCUUGAAUUUUGACUUUUCAGUCUUAAGUCACAGCCCCCACUGAGUAGCAUCAUCCUGUGUGACCAAUAGGAGUCAUCCGAAAUGAUGGAAUGUGACUUCUGAAGCUAGAUCAUCAUCAGGUACUGUGUCUUCCCGGUCCUUUCUCGUCCUGCCCACUCUGGGGGAAUUUGGCUGCUUGUUACGAGGACACUCCAUCAGUCCUAAGGAGAGGUCUGUGUGGUAAGGGACCAAGGCCUUCAUUCUCCGUCCUCCAACAAGAACUUGCCAGUCGUGUGAAUGAGCCAUCUUGGAAGUGGAUCUCCAACCCCUAAUUUUGACUUCCCUGGUGGUCCAGUGGCUAAGAAUGUGCCUGCCAAUGCCAAGGACAAGGGUUCCAUCCCUGGUCCAGGAAGAUUCCACGUGCUGCAGGGCAACUAAGCCUGUGUGCCACAAUGACUGCAGCCCGAGCCCAGAACCUGUGCUUUGAAGCAAGAGAAGACACCGAAAUGGGAAGCCCAUGCACUGCAACAAAGUGUAGCCCCCACUCACUGCAGCUAGAGAGAGCCCAAGGCAGCAAGAAGGCCCAGCACAACUAUAAGUAAACAAAUAAAUACAAUGUUUAAAAAUAAUAAAAAUAAACAUUUAAACA